AGUGAACGCUGGCGGUAGGCCUAACACAUGCAAGUCGAACGGCAGCACAGUAAGAGCUUGCUCUUACGGGUGGCGAGUGGCGGACGGGUGAGGAAUACAUCGGACUCUACUUUUUCGUGGGGGAUAACGUAGGGAAACUUACGCUAAUACCGCAUACGACCUACGGGUGAAAGCAGGGGAUCUUCGGACCUUGCGCGAUUGAAUGAGCCGAUGUCGGAUUAGCUAGUUGGCGGGGUAAAGGCCCACCAAGGCGACGAUCCGUAGCUGGUCUGAGAGGAUGAUCAGCCACACUGGAACUGAGACACGGUCCAGACUCCUACGGGAGGCAGCAGUGGGGAAUAUUGGACGAUGGGCGCAAGCCUGAUCCAGCCAUACCGCGUGGGUGAAGAAGGCCUUCGGGUUGUAAAGCCCUUUUGUUGGGAAAGAAAAGCAGCAGGUUAAUACCCCGCUGUUCUGACGGUACCCAAAGAAUAAGCACCGGCUAACUUCGUG
This 492-nucleotide ribosomal RNA is filed under the name uncultured bacterium. RNAcentral's name for it is "partial 16S ribosomal RNA". It matches the Rfam family "Bacterial small subunit ribosomal RNA", at positions 29 to 507 of the family's 1533-position model. The record is from RNAcentral.